GGAGGACGAGGUGCAGGGAGGGGUGUAGCACUUCCAUCACUCCUGAGGUGCUGCCCCCAGGAGCCUGCCUGUGUUCAUCUCCAACAGCUCUCCAAACCGUGUCCUUUGGGUUUUCAUGGAGGCGUCAUUGCAUAGGCAUGACUGAUAAACCAUUGGCCCUUGGUGAUCAACUUAACCUUCUGCCCAACCCCUCCCUAGUGGUUGGGGCUGAAAGUCCCUGCAAUCCUACCUUCCUCUUCCCCAUGCCCACCCGCAUCCUGAAGCCCUGGGGGCUGCCAGCCAGCAGUCAGCUCACUAGUACACAGAAAGAUUUCACUUACCGCUUUUAAGAUUCCAAGCAUUUUAGGAGCUAUGCACCAGCAAAGGGGGAGGAAGGUCACUUCACAAUACCAUGGUAUGGAUAUCGAGAUACUAUUGUACUGUCUUAUCAGCAGCAUAAUAAUCUAAAAUUAGGCCCUGUGUUCUCUCCCAGGUGUUUGAGGUCAGUCAUCAGAAUUGGAUGCUAGAGCAGACCCUCCUCCCAGUGCUGCAAGGGAGAGGCCUCGCCACUUUCACGGAUGCCAAGAAAAAUCAAGUGGCCACAAGACAACUCAGCCACAGUAGAGACAUUAGUUGUUUUUGUUUGGGGCUGUGGGGAUUAAACCCAGGGCUUCAUACCAGCUAGGCACAUGCUCUACCACUGGGCUAUGCCCGGCCCAGCAGGCAUUGUAUCAGCAUGCCACUGACCUUCAAAUGGGACCAAAGACACACUAAAAUACAGAGAACACACAGAAGCAGACAUUAUGCCAGCGAUUUGUCAGCAAGUGUAAGCGUGAACAGCAGACUGGCGCAGGUCUGGUUGUACCGCGGGGACACACUGCCUUCGGUGGAAGAGCCUUCUAACCCCAGGCCUGGAACUUGUCGUGAAGUAAAGAAGGUGCACCCGGAGCCUGAGAAGCACCAUUUACUUCUGAAAUGAAGAAGGAGGAACCAAGAAAGUGUCCUUGGUUAGAGUGAAUGGAGAACGUGAGCUGUAGCGUAGGGACUUUUCUAGGCACAGCUAGUGUGUGUGGGACACAGCCAUACAAGGGGCACCUAGAGGCAGAUGUGCCAUAUUCAGAGCAUGAUGUGGGGUGGUGAGUCCUCAGGGGAAAGGCCAGCUCCCGGAGGUCCCUGCAGGUCUCUGUACCUGCUGGUCCUCAUUGGCGAAGUGGGGACACUGCAGUCAACCUCUGUGGGCUGUGUGUGAGGACUGAGAUGAUAAAGCUAAGGAGCUAACACAGUCCCUGGCACAAGGAGGCUCUGAACAAGAGUUAGAGAGACUAGUGUUUCUUCUAAUGGCCAGACAACGGCCUCGGGACUGAAACCAUGUCAAAGGAAAGCCACCUGAUGUGGAGAGCACACCACAAAGUGGACGUGUCCGGGCAUGAAGAGUGAGGAGCCAGGGGCAAAGGGGAGCUGAGUCAGCCGUGCUCCAAGUCUGGGGAGACAGAAAACCACAUCCAGACCCACAAAGAGGCCGUAAGACGAAGACAACCUGCUUGACUUGUAUGAUGACCAACUGAUAGAAUUUGCUCAAAAUAUCAUAUUUUCACAUUUAUAAAAGCUGGGGAAAGUGAAAAUUAGUACUUAUAGAAAGAUUCAAAGAAAUUCAAUCCAAAGGUAGGAUGUUUGUAGAGGCUGCUUGCUGAAGUGGUUUUAAAUUUGGGCAGGUUAGAAAUCUUAAAUAAAAAUUACAGGAGGCCAUUGUUUUGGAUUGGGCUCCUGCACUAGGCCCUACAGGCCAGGCUAAAAAUCAAAAUGGAGGCAUUUAUGCUAAAGUUCCAAAUCACCAGCUGAAACUGGGAAUAAGGGUCAGAGGGAAAACCACCAAGUUUCCCAAACAGGCCAGUUUCAACUGGUGUGAUGAUGAAGAUCCCUCUGCCUUGAUCAUCACUCAAAAAAGGUGACCUGAGAUGACCCGCUCCCUGCCCCUGCCUUCAGGGAAAGUGACUUUGCAAUGACCAAUCUGCUUUUGCUCUUUGCUUCUCCUCAAGCCCUCCCUGUUUGUAAAACCAGCCUCCCUCGCCUGGUCCCGCCGACCACUACUUCUCUCAUAUGGAAUAAAGUGUUGCCCAAUCCCAGGAUCAUUACACUAGUGAUUUUAUCCUUUGACAGAAGGACCCCAAAAUUGAC
Molecule: long non-coding RNA, 2154 nt
Filed under: Marmota monax (woodchuck)
Lineage: Eukaryota; Metazoa; Chordata; Mammalia; Rodentia; Sciuridae
Source: RNAcentral